GCUAAGCAAUUAUAAGCACGUGCAAGAAACUAACUCUUUUUUACAUACAUAUAGAUAUAUACUUGAGCUACCCUUCCAUCUUAUAUUGUCUACACCCUUCAAUUUAUGUAGUGAUGAUUCAAUGAUCGAUCAUUUCAAUUUUCAAGUAUGGACGUUGCCAAUUUUGAGCUUCAAUUUUUCAGCCCAGGGAUGAACGUGAGAGAUUGGUAAAGAAUCAAAAGUCAAAGAAGAAUUAGUGCAAUUCCCAACUAGCUCACAAGAAGCUCGUGAGAAGAGUAACCGCGAAAGGUCACGUGUGAAGCACAUGACUAGAAGCUGAAGAGUCAUGCCAGGCUGUCAAAUUCGCGAGUACUUCGUGAGAAAGACCAUCUUGCGAGGUACUCGCAAAACUCUCUAUUUGGCAAAAAAAAAAAAAAAAAAAA
Long non-coding RNA from Quercus lobata, 422 nucleotides. RefSeq lists it as uncharacterized. The record is from RefSeq and is a predicted model, not a curated record. NCBI's taxonomy places the organism in Eukaryota, Viridiplantae, Streptophyta, Magnoliopsida, Fagales, Fagaceae. The transcript is spliced from 2 exons.